UGUGACCCUGUAGGUCCAUAGAAAGUUGGCAGUAGGCUAAUUAUGCUAUUAGCCCACAAGUCACAAGUGGCUUCUAGCAAGACAUUACAACUACCCAAUUCACAUGAAAAUUAAUGAUCUUAUGUAACCUAUCAUGCAACCGUAUCACAUGCCUUUUGUCACGCAAUAUUUCGGUCAAGUGUGAGACAUGGAAUUGUCAUUCUCCUUUACCUGACCAUUACUUUUUUUAUCUCUAAGUGUACUGACUGUAGCAAUGGAAAAACCUUUUCCAUUAUAAUAUAGCCAUAUAUUUUCUCCAUCUUACUCAUCGAGGCACCCAGUAAUCUCUCACUUAAUGUGAGAGAUAAAUUUCAUCUUGACCACUUAUAUUCUUUUGAAUGAAUAUCACUAAAUUCAAUCAUAGCUUUUAUGAUCACCCAGUCAAAGGUGACUUUUGACUAGGUCAAAGUUUAGUGGUCAUCAUGUAGGAAUCCAUGAUGAUCUCAAGUCAAAGGGCUUAGUGAUAUAGUUAUAUAUGAGAUAAGCUUAUGAUUUAUACUAUGUAACUUUCUCAUAGUGGGUCGGUCCAGCACCUUAUACUCUUUUAAGUGUCUAUGAUUUUGAUUUGUAUCUUUAUAAUUAAUCAAAGUCAUACUUGUCUUGUUUCAUCUAUGAUCCCUUAUGGAUGACCGAUCAGGAACUUUUAGGAUAAUCACUAUAGUUUGUCCAAGGAUAUAGUUAUCAUAGUGAACAAGCAAUUAAUAUGAUGACAAAAGAAAAAUUCAUUAAAUAAUAAUGUGCAUAGUAUAAUGAUUGGUCCUAGGGCAUAAUUUUCAACACAAUAUUAUUUCCUGAAUGGCUUAUAAGUUUUACUGUAUAAAUAAGAUAUUCCACCUGAAUGAAAUCCUAUAACGACGCAUCUUCAUCCACUCCUCUUGUUUUCCCACCAAACAACUAAGACCCACAUUAGAUAGAAUCACAGACCUACCAACUAUUUCUAGAACUAAAGGACAAUUCAACCCCUGAACCCACUCAAGAUAUGGAUCAUGACAUUGAUGAAGAUAAGAUUCUCUUUGAUAUCUUUGCCACUAAAUGGCGCCAAAAAGAAGAAAAAAGUUAGAUCAACAUAUCAUAUGACCAAGAGUGUAUUCAAAAGAGUAUGAAAUAAUCUACUUUAAGUUAAAUCACAUCUUAUUUUAUUAAUUUCAUCUUAUUGUAAACUUUGUCAAAAGCUACUUUUGACUUUUGAACAAAGUAGUUAGCUUUUAGUCAUGUCAUCCAUCUUCACUUUUAGUUUAAGUAAAGUAUGUUUAAAGUAAGUGCCCAUGUGAUAAUCAUCCAUCUUUUUGUAACCAUGGAAGUCUUGUCCUAAUCCUCCUCAUUGUGUCUAUAUAAGGAAGUUUCAGUCAUGUAGUAAGGCUAAACUCAUUUGAGAAACAAAAACCUGUAUGUUAUCCAAUUAUAUCUCUCCAAAACUCUUUCUCUAUCCUAAAAGCUUGAUUCUUUAAUAUCUUAUCUCUAUCAUACUAAGAUUAAAAUAUGCUUUGCACUUGCCUCUUUGAGGAACUUGUGCAUUAGAAAGAAUUCGACUGACAAUCUCUGUGUGUGAGUUCAUGUCACUAUGCUUAAAGAUUUAUAGGUUGAAGAUCCUAAAAUGACCCAGGUUUGCCUAGAAGAAGCAUUGAGAGGCCUUACUUGGAUCAAUACAUCCUAUAUCACUAAGACACAAUGAUCUUUGAGACUACGCACAUAUGAGUAUUGCACUCGUGGUGCCUUUUUGGUCUAGAAGCUUUACACUUGUAUUAGUGAAAAUGAGUCAUAAAGCAGUAGUUAGCGCAACUUGUUUCGAUCUAAUUUGUUCAAUUAAGAUAUUGAUUGUAGUUUUUUUUUUUCUAUUUUUGAAAAAAAAAUUCUUAUUUUAGUUAUUUUUUCUAUAAUAAUUUUAAAAAUAAAUUUCUUUAAUUUAAAAUAUUUUAAAAAGUAAUCAAUAUUUAUCUCGAGGAAAAAAAUUUCUUCUACUAUCUAAUUUUUCUGGGUCAUCUGUAACUCAUAGAAAAUAAAUAUUUUUUUUUAAUAAGAAAAAUAUUAGGUGGGUUAAACUACAAUAAUUCAGGGACCUAACAUUCUUCUAUGGUGUGAUCCUCACUAACAAAAUCCUGACACUGACUCAACCAAUUUUUGUUGACAAAAGUUAAAAAUUAUUCCAUAUUAUAUUUAUUUAAAAAAUAUAAAUAUUCCAGUUAAUUCACUGUAAAAAAUGGAAAGAGUGACCUUUUCUAAAUUUUAAUAUUUUAUUAACGAUCUUUUGCUUAUUUACAACUCGAGGAUUUUCAGUAGCAGCCCUAUGAUGAGCAUGACGAGCGUGUGGAGCACAAGGCCAUCAUUUGGAACAACUAUUCAUUCCCAUCUGUCCCUUAUUCUCUUGGUUCUUGUUCUGCUCUCUCUGCAAGCCUUCGUGCUCCUUUGAGACCUUGAUAGUUAAGCUCUUGCUUAUUGGAAAUCUCGUUCAGUUUUUAAUGAAUUGUAAACAAGAAUUGUAAUGGCUCAUAUUAUAAUAAUAAAGCUAGACCAAAUAAUAAGAUUAAUUUAUUAUAUUUUUAUUAAUUGUUGAGAAAAGAAUAAUCACAUGCAUUGGUGGUUCAAUGAAAUUUCUAUUAGUGCUUAUUAUAAGGUCUUGUGUUCGAGCCCUCAUUAUGUACUAAGGAAGAAUUUUUUUAAUUUUUGCCACUGUGUUACGAAAUUACCACUCUGUCCCUAAAAAAAUAAUAAUAAAAUAAAAUUAAAAUUCAGAAAUUUAAAGAAAAGAGUGAUCAGAAAUGCCACACAUGUUCUGCAGAUUUUUCUCACCUUUCUCGGUCAUUUUGAGCUCCAGAUUGAGUUAGAGAGAGAGCACCGCCUAAAACUCUCACCCUCUAUCCAUUAAUCUCUGCCUUCAUCCUCCUUAGCGUCGCUAGUGACUCUGAGAAUUUACUGUCGUUGUCUUCCUUAUCUCCAUCUUCUCCAACUUCUCCAGAAUUUGUCAAGACAGAGAGGUUUAACUGAUUCUUCAAUCUACCUCCGUUUUCCCCUGUCUUGUCGCCAUUUUCUUCUCCGUUCACAGAGAUCACCAGCGCUAGUAUCUGUAGUUAUUUCGUCCACCACUACUCUGUCAAGUUGGUGCCUUCUUCGUCUUCCCUUCAUGCUUGCCGAGGACUUGCUGCUGUUAGGUUCCAAAUCCGUUGGUGUUAGACAUUUCCUUCUCCUUCUCUGCCCCUGUCGUUGCUGUUUGAGGUGGCAUGUGACUUGUGCAUCAAUUGGGCAAUUGAGGUCAACACUCCUUGAGGACAAUGGCUGAUGGUUUGCACGUGAAUUAUGAUUAUUUUGAGGGAUUAGAUCAGCUAAAAUGAUGUGGAUGACACAUGGGAAAUUAGGCACACAUUGGAAUCAUCUACAAACCAAUAGGAAGUUGCCACCUUGCAAGUGUGACAAGGCUCCCAUUUACAUUUUAAUUUCUUUUUCCUUAUUUUAAUUAAGCUUCAGCUGAUGGGAGACACCAAGGAGCACGCCAUUUUAAGCCCAAAUGGGAUCCAACACAUAUCUCAUUCAUCUUCCACAUUCUCUCUCUCUUGUUCAUAGUGUUCUUCAUUUUCUCUCUUUUGUUCUUCAUUUUCCAGCACCCUAACCUCCAUUUUCAGCCACCAAACCUCCACAAAACUCAUACCAUUCUUCUCCUCUCUUCAUUUUCGUUCCAUCCCUUCCAUUUUCACAAGGAUUGAAGCUCAUUUCCAUCAUUCAAGAGCUAUGGAGUUUGGCCUUCACAAGCAAUCACUAGGGUUCUUGAAGAUGAAGAUUGGCUAAGUUUCUUUGUGGAAUCCUAGAGAGAUGAAGAUGGAGGAUGAGUCUUGAGCUUCAAAUUGGCUAAGUUCUUUUGUUUCCUAUCCUCUUCUCUUUUUACUAGAUGGUUAGAUUCCUUAAUCUAGGGUCUAAUCAUCUUAGCUUAUAAAUUCUAAUUUGAAUUUGAUGUUGAUGUAAAGAGAGAGGAUUGUUUCAUUUAAUUUCUUCCUUGGACAGCCAUGACUGAAUUUUGCCACUCUUUGUUUGGCACAUAAUCUUGUGUUUUUCAAUUAGUGAAUUUCUUGUGUUAA
This is a long non-coding RNA of Prosopis cineraria, 4103 nucleotides long. RefSeq lists it as uncharacterized. Lineage: Eukaryota; Viridiplantae; Streptophyta; Magnoliopsida; Fabales; Fabaceae. The transcript is spliced from 3 exons. The record is from RefSeq and is a predicted model, not a curated record.